RNAcentral lists this ribosomal RNA (274 nucleotides) under uncultured bacterium. RNAcentral describes it as "partial 16S ribosomal RNA". It matches the Rfam family "Bacterial small subunit ribosomal RNA", at positions 523 to 796 of the family's 1533-position model. The record is from RNAcentral.
AUAUGGAGGGUGCGAGCGUUAAUCGGAAUUACUGGGCGUAAAGCGUACGUAGGCGGUUGGUUAAGUUAGAUGUGAAAGCCCCGGGCUUAACCUGGGAACUGCAUUUAAAACUGGCGAACUAGAGUUGAGUAGAGGGGAGUGGAAUUUCAGGUGUAGCGGUGAAAUGCGUAGAGAUCUGAAGGAACACCAGUGGCGAAGGCGACUCCCUGGACUCGAACUGACGCUGAGGUACGAAAGCGUGGGUAGCAAACGGGAUUAGAAACCCCAGUAGUCC